GGCUCAUGACGAACGCUGGCGGCGUGCUUAACACAUGCAAGUCGAACGCUGAAACCAAAUGCUUGCAUUUGGUGGAUGAGUGGCGAACGGGUGAGUAACACGUGGGUGAUCUGCCCUACACUUUGGGAUAAGCCUGGGAAACUGGGUCUAAUACCGAAUAUUCACACCACCGUAGGGGUGGUGUGGAAAGCUUUAUGCGGUGUGGGAUGAGCCUGCGGCCUAUCAGCUUGUUGGUGGGGUAAUGGCCUACCAAGGGGUCGACGGGUAGCCGGCCUGAGAGGGUGUACGGCCACAUUGGGAAUGAGACACGGCCCAGACUCCUACGGGAGGCAGCAGUGGGGAAUAUUGCACAAUGGGCGCAAGCCUGAUGCAGCGACGCCGCGUGGGGGAUGACGGCCUUCGGGUUGUAAACUCCUUUCGCUAGGGACGAAGCCUUUUUGGUGACGGUACCUGGAGAAGAAGCACCGGCUAACUACUUGCCAGCAGCCGCGGUAAUACUUAGGGUGCGAGCGUUGUCCGGAAUUACUGGGCGUAAAGAGCUCGUAGGUGGUUUGUCGCGUCUUCUGUGAAAUCCCGGGGCUUAACUUCGGGCGUGCAGGCGAUACGGGCAUAACUUGAUUGCUGUAGGGGAGACUGGAAUUCCUGGUGUAGCGGUGAAAUGCGCAGAUAUCAGGAGGAACACCAAUGGCGAAGGCAGGUCUCUGGGCAGUAACUGACGCUAAGGAGCGAAAGCAUGGGUAGCGAACAGGAUUAAAUACCCUGGUAGUCCAUGCCGUAAACGGUGGGCGCUAGGUGUAGGGGUCUUCCACAACUUCUGUGCCGCAGCUAACGCAUUAAGCGCCCCGCCUGGGGAGUACGGCCGCAAGGCUAAAACUCAAAGGAAUUGACGGGGGCCCGCACAACCGGCGGACCAUGUGGAUUAAUUCAAUGCAACGCGAAGAACCUUACCUGGGCUUGACAUGGACCGGAUCGGCGUAAAGAUACUUUUUCCCUUGUGGUCGGUUCACAGGUGGUGCAUGGUUGUCGUCAGCUCGUGUCGUGAGAUGUUGGGUUAAGUCCCGCAA
Molecule: ribosomal RNA, 1064 nt
Filed under: Corynebacterium glutamicum
Lineage: Bacteria; Bacillati; Actinomycetota; Actinomycetes; Mycobacteriales; Corynebacteriaceae
Description: bacterial SSU rRNA
Rfam family: Bacterial small subunit ribosomal RNA
Source: RNAcentral